UUUUUUAUAAAAGUAAUUUAUUUAUUUAAGGUUUUAGUAUUAAUUAAAAAUUAAUUUAUAGAUUUAUAGUUUAAUAGUAUUGUAAAAGAAAUUAUAAAAUUUUAAAAAGAAUAAAAUUAGUACCUUUUGUAUCAGGGUUGAUUAAAAUUUUUAAUUUUUUUUUAAAUUCUCAAAAUUUAUAGAGUUAAUUUUAUUAUUAAUUUAUUGUAUUAUAAAUAUUUAUAAAAUAAUAUUAGUUUUGAAAUUUAAUUCGUUAUAUUAUAUUUAGUUAUUUAAGAUUUAAAUUUAAUUUAAAAUUUUAAAAGUUAUAUUGAUUUUAUUAAUUAAUAUUUUAAAUUUAAAUUAUUUUAGGGAUAAGCUUGAAAUUUUUAUAUAAUAACAUAGUUAUUUUAAUAAUUUAUAGGAAUAGAAAUUUUUAUUUUAAGUUUGUAAAAAUUUAUUAUUUAUUUAAUUUUAAUUUAUUAUAUUUAUUUAUUUUUUAUAUUAAAUUUUAUUAAUUAAUAUUUAAUUAAUAGUAAUAAUGAUUAAAUUAGUAUAAUUAAUAUAUUUAUAAAUUAUGAAUUCGGCAAAAAUUAUUUUCAUCUGUUUAACAAAAACAUUGUAUUAAGUUUAAUUUAAUAUAGGAUCUGCUCAAUGAUUUAUUAAAUAGCUGCAGUAUUUUGACUGUGCAAAGGUAGCAUAAUAAUUAGUCUUUUAAUUGAGGACUUGAAUGAAAGAUUUGAUGAGAAAUAGACUUUAUUAUUUAUAAAAUUAAAAUUUUAUUUUUAAGUAAAAAAGCUUAAAUUAUUUAAAGGGACGAUAAGACCCUAUAAAACUUUAUAAAUUUUAGUUUUAAUUUUUUUGGCUUAUAAAUAUUUUAUUAUUAAAAUUUAUUUUAUUGGGGUGAUAAAAAAAAUUAAUAAACUUUUUUUAAAAUUAAACAUUAUUUAAUGAAUAUUUGAAUUAAAAUUUUUAAUUAUAGGAAAAAGUUACUUUAGGGAUAACAGCGUAAUUAAUUUUUUAAGUUCAAAUUUAAAAAUUAGUUUGCGACCUCGAUGUUGAAUUAAGAUUAAUCUUAGGUGCAAAAUUUUAAGUAUUAGGUCUGUUCGACCUUUAAA
Molecule: ribosomal RNA, 1097 nt
Filed under: Aphis nerii (oleander aphid)
Lineage: Eukaryota; Metazoa; Arthropoda; Insecta; Hemiptera; Aphididae
Description: partial 16S large subunit ribosomal RNA
Source: RNAcentral